Molecule: ribosomal RNA, 500 nt
Filed under: uncultured bacterium
Lineage: Bacteria
Description: bacterial SSU rRNA
Rfam family: Bacterial small subunit ribosomal RNA
Source: RNAcentral
AUUGAACGCUGGCGGCGUGCUUAACACAUGCAAGUCGAACGCGAAAGGGACUUCGGUCCUGAGUAAAGUGGCGCACGGGUGAGUAACGCGUGGAUAAUCUGCCCUUAUGAUUGGAAUAACAGUUGGGAACGGCUGCUAAUACCGGAUACGCUCAAAAUGAACUUUUUGAGGAAAGAUGGCCUCUGCUUGCAUGCUAUCGCAUAAGGAUGAGUCCGCGUCCCAUUAGCUUGUUGGCGGGGUAACGGCCCACCAAGGCAACGAUGGGUAGCCGAUUUGAGAGGAUGAUCGGCCACACUGGAACUGAAACACGGUCCAGACUCCUACGGGAGGCAGCAGUGGGGAAUAUUGCGCAAUGGGCGAAAGCCUGACGCAGCGACGCCGCGUGAGGGAUGAAGGUUUUCGGAUCGUAAACCUCUGUCAGAAGGGAAGAAACUACGUUGUGCUAAUCAGCAGCGUACUGACGGUACCUUCAAAGGAAGCACCGGCUAACUCCGUGCCAG